RNAcentral lists this ribosomal RNA (301 nucleotides) under uncultured bacterium. RNAcentral describes it as "partial 16S ribosomal RNA". It matches the Rfam family "Bacterial small subunit ribosomal RNA", at positions 509 to 807 of the family's 1533-position model. The record is from RNAcentral.
CAGCCGCCGCGGGAAUACGUAGGGUGCAAGCGUUAAUCGGAAUUACUGGGCGUAAAGCGUGCGCAGGCGGUUUGUUAAGACAGAUGUGAAAUCCCCGGGCUCAACCUGGGAACUGCAUUUGUGACUGGCAGGCUAGAGUAUGGCAGAGGGGGGUGGAAUUCCGCGUGUAGCAGUGAAAUGCGUAGAUAUGCGGAGGAACACCGAUGGCGAAGGCAGCCCCCUGGGCCAAUACUGACGCUCAUGCACGAAAGCGUGGGGAGCAAACAGGAUUAGAUACCCGUGUAGUCCCUGUCUCUUAUAC